CGGGGGGUCAUUCGGUAAGCCCACAGAACGGAGCCCAGUUCGUCGACCCAGAGGCCUUUGACUUCAUUUAGUCGGGUUUUGAGCCCGUGUAGUAUGGUUUGGUUGGUCACCUCGACUUCGCUAUUGGACUGCAGGUGCCCGAUCGAAGUCAGUCGGUACAUCAUGUGAAACCUCGCGCAGAAGUCUCUGAAGUCUUGGUUGUCGAAUUGUCGCCCAUUGUCGGUGAUAAUGGUAUGCGGCAAUUCGAACCUGAAGAUG
Molecule: long non-coding RNA, 258 nt
Filed under: Elaeis guineensis (African oil palm)
Lineage: Eukaryota; Viridiplantae; Streptophyta; Magnoliopsida; Arecales; Arecaceae
Description: long non-coding RNA (EGUI_LNC016466)
Source: RNAcentral